GAUGAACGCUAGCUACAGGCUUAACACAUGCAAGUCGAGGGGCAGCAUGGUCUUAGCUUGCUAAGACUGAUGGCGACCGGCGCACGGGUGAGUAACACGUAUCCAACCUGCCGUCUACUCUUGGACAGCCUUCUGAAAGGAAGAUUAAUACAAGAUGGCAUCAUGAGUCCGCAUGUUCACAUGAUUAAAGGUAUUCCGGUAGACGAUGGGGAUGCGUUCCAUUAGAUAGUAGGCGGGGUAACGGCUCACCUAGUCUUCGAUGGAUAGGGGUUCUGAGAGGAAGGUCCCCCACAUUGGAACUGAGACACGGUCCAAACUCCUACGGGAGGCAGCAGUGAGGAAUAUUGGUCAAUGGGCGAGAGCCUGAACCAGCCAAGUAGCGUGAAGGAUGACUGCCCUAUGGUUGUAAACUUCUUUAUAAAGGAAUAAAGUCGGGUAUGCAUACCCGUUUGCAUGUACUUUAUGAAUAAGGAUCGGCUAACUCCGU
RNAcentral lists this ribosomal RNA (487 nucleotides) under uncultured bacterium. Its description in RNAcentral is "bacterial SSU rRNA". It matches the Rfam family "Bacterial small subunit ribosomal RNA", at positions 28 to 506 of the family's 1533-position model. The record is from RNAcentral.